ACGCCGAGAAGCAGCCAAACGGACGCCGCGGCUGCCGGGGUGUCCCCGAGCAUGGAGCAGCCGGCGGGGGCCGCAGGCGGGCGCUGCGCCCCGGGCUGGCAGCGGGCGGCGAGAGCGGCCAGGAGCAGGAUGCGCUCAGAGGGUGAGGCCCCCGGGCCGGCGGCUCCACUGUGCGGGGCGCUGAGCCUGGUGUUGAGCGCGCUGCUGGGCAAAGGGAGAACAGCAGCCGAUUUGGAUUCCAGAGAGAUUAACCAAAACAAUUUCUACAUACCAAAAGGAAGCUGAUUUGACUCAAAUACAUAACAGCUGAUAUCCAGAACUCCAGCUUGGCUAUUCUUACAUCUGCGACAGUGAUUAACCAGGAUGCUUUUUUCAAUAUCUAUUUUAUUAUUGCUUUUUCCCACAUCAUAAAGUUCUAUUUUAUUUUUGAGCUCAUACAGACCUAGGUUAAUGUUUUUCUUAUCGGUUUUAUUUUUUGACUGUGGAGUUUUUAAACAUUGCAAUGGAGAUUUCACCUAGGUAAAGCUACAAGGCCUUUACUAUUGUCUUACAUGUUGUAUGUUACGUGUGCACACUUCUGUUUUGUGUUGUAUGUCUGUAUGUGCAUAUGUCCAUAUAUCAUAUAUGAGGAGUGCUCAUGAUUAUGGAUCCGAAUUUUUUUUUAUUAUUCACGUGAUUUUAAUAGUUUAAUUUAUUUGGGUAAACAGCUGUUGAGGAUUGUUUUAAUAUAUGAACAAAUAGGAAGUUAACAGAUCUGUUUGUUUAUUUUCACCUUUCCUUUUCAUUAUAUGUAAUAAUUCUGUUCAGGAUAAUGUAAAUUGUUCUAAAAAUUGUUUUCUUAGUACCUGUUGAAAUGUUACAUAUUUUUUUUAGCAUCAUUGUCAGAAUUCCUAUUUUCAUCCCAGUGCCGGUGAAGACAAAGAUGAAACCAAACUACAACUUCUUCAAGAGUUAUCACAACAGACUGUAUAAACUGAUACAUCAAUGAUUAAUAACUCAACAAGUAAUGCUCAAUCAAUGAGUCAAUUUAUUUUUGGAGGAUAUGGACAUAUUGAUAGAUUCUGCUGCUUUGAACUGCUUACAGAACUUGCCUGGACUAUGUAUCAAUUGUAUGCAUUGUGAUCUAUCUGUUGAUGCAGUGAAUUAUGGUAGUGCUAGCAUAUCUUUGCUGAUGUGUCACCAGUGAUGCAAUUUUUCCUAGGAGCCAUCCAUUGACUCGGCGUUGUUGCAUUUCUGUAUCCUCCUCCCUUCUACUAGUGAUGGUCUAAUUUGGGGGGCCAACAGAGGUGAGGCAAAGAACCUCAACCCCCCACUGGUGCAUAGGCCUAUCCACAAGUAUGGCUAUAUGCUGGACCGGUAGUCAGUGACAGGUAUGAUCCAAUUGCAGUGGUAUCAACCUAAGACAGGAGGCUGACGCCUAGAGGUCAGUUUUCCGAUGAUGGGUAAAAACCAUAUGAUGAAUUGGACAAACCUAACAGGCACGGUCGCUAGCCAGAUUGCUUGUUGCUUAAACAGAAGGGGGGAGAUCCUAAGAGCCAAGUAUAUGAUGCAUGGCAUUUUUGGUUGAAAGGUGAAGCCAGCUAGCCAUUGAGAUGAUAUGAUUAUGUUAAGAUUUGCAUUCAUAUGGAUAUUGGACUCCUGCUGUUCACCUUGGCCUGCUAUGGGACUCCUGGAGAGUUCCCAUUGGUUGGGGAAGUACAAUAGGAGGGAGUUCUGGGGGAGGAACUUCCUCUGGGCAUGCUGGGUGGGUGGAUCAGGGACAGAACAUUGGCGGCAGUUUCAAAAAAUAAAGUUUGUUCCUGCUUGA
This is a long non-coding RNA of Marmota monax (woodchuck), 1807 nucleotides long. RefSeq lists it as uncharacterized. The record is from RefSeq and is a predicted model, not a curated record. The transcript is spliced from 2 exons. Lineage: Eukaryota; Metazoa; Chordata; Mammalia; Rodentia; Sciuridae.